GAGAGUUUGAUCCUGGCUCAGAACGAACGCUGGCGGCAAGCUUAACACAUGCAAGUCGAACGGACAGUUAUUUAUAGCCUUGGCUAUAAGUAUCUGUUAGUGGCAGACGGGUGAGUAAUGCGUAGGAAUCUACCUAGUAGUAUGGAAUAGCUAUUAGAAAUGAUAGGUAAUACUGUAUAAUCCCUGCGGGGGAAAGAUUUAUCGCUAUUAGAUGAGCCUACGUUAGAUUAGCUAGUUGGUAAGGUAAUGGCUUACCAAGGCAAUGAUCUAUAGCUGGUCUGAGAGGACGAUCAGCCACACUGGAACUGAGAUACGGUCCAGACUCCUACGGGAGGCAGCAGUGGGGAAUAUUGGACAAUGGG
This 362-nucleotide ribosomal RNA is filed under the name Ehrlichia ruminantium (heartwater rickettsia). Its description in RNAcentral is "bacterial SSU rRNA". It matches the Rfam family "Bacterial small subunit ribosomal RNA", at positions 7 to 375 of the family's 1533-position model. The record is from RNAcentral. Lineage: Bacteria; Pseudomonadati; Pseudomonadota; Alphaproteobacteria; Rickettsiales; Anaplasmataceae.